UAAAUUAGUAAUAUAUUGACCAUGCUUUACUAUCUCAAAAUUAGAAUACAGUUUGUCAUAGAUACAUUCACAAUUAGAAUACAAAUAUGAGGGAUUGUGCAAGAAAAUCUCAGACAUACGGUGAUCUCAAACUGAGAUCUUUCAAUCCAAACACAUCAUUUUAUUUUAAAGGAGGAAACUGAGGUGAAUGAAGUAGCUGCUUAUGAACUAAGUUGAAAGCAGCAAUCAUCUACGAAGACCCUAUUCGGUGCUUUCUCUCCUCUCCACCUUACACCAGAGUGGGGAAAAGAUCCGAGUACCAAUGUCAUGAAUAUAUCAAGUAAUCAGAGCACCAGGGAGAAGAAAACAGCGUUCACAGCUAGAGAAAAUGCAAAGGUAGCACUGCAUGUAAAUACAAGAAAGACUAGAAUAGUAUGAUUUGCUUCUCAGGCACAGCAGGGAAAUUAUCUAAGAGGAUGUCAAAAGUAUGCAAAUGUGAUUGAGUGCUGAAUGCAAAGGACCCAAGACAAUCUGAGAAGCUGGUGGUUGGGGUCUCAAUGAACUCCUCAUCUACAGGACUAAGAGGAAAGUUGUUCUUCCUGCUCAGGCAUUUGUAAGGGCUGAUGAGUAUCAGAAAAGCUUUCAUUCAUGACUCCAGAGAGACCUUUCCUCACUGCUGUGUCUGAAGCAAACUCACAUUCCUGCCAACUUUCUCUAAGGAUAUUACACUGUUUACCUGCCUCUUCAAGAUCCUUAGGCCUUACAUCCCUGGUGCACUAUUCUAACUCCGGUGCCAAACACGUAACAGCACUCAAGAAAUGACUUGUUAAAGGAGUAAAUCUGAAUGUCCUAUUUGAUGUUGGGCCCUUAGAGGACAAGAGUAAUAUUUGUUACUUUGUGCAUCUUUAGUGCCAAGCAAAAUGUUCCACAAAUAUUUGGAGUACACUUAAAUAGUUUCUCAAAUAAAUUAUCACACUUGGAAAAAAA
This 966-nucleotide long non-coding RNA is filed under the name Homo sapiens (human). RNAcentral describes it as "HSALNT0378371". Lineage: Eukaryota; Metazoa; Chordata; Mammalia; Primates; Hominidae. The record is from RNAcentral.